GAAAAUAAAGAACGAGAGAGACUGACAGAUAUGACAGAUAUACUUCCUCACUCACCAAUCAGCUACACGUCUCUGCAGCAUUCUGUGCUGUGUGGUGGCGCGCUCCGGGAAACUGAGCUGCAUCACUGCACCUGCUCUCAAGACUGCAUAUCAUCUGGAGACAGGAGUUGCAUGAUAAAUAGCGAGACAGGAAGCAACUUUGAGAACCCUAAACGUAACCAUUUUAAAUGUUAACUUCAAUGGGUAGGGAUGUCCCAAGGACUCCAGAUAGCAAAGACCGUAGAAGAAUGCUCUAUCUCACCUUUGUAUUAACGCCUAACGGGUUUCCGAUAUCGUGUGAUUGACGUCAAUUUGGUCAUAGACAAGGGAAAAGAGAAAGGGGAUGUCAGGAACCGACGCAAUUCAUUUGCAAACAACCUAUUUUCGCCGGUGUCCAGUGGAAGAGACCAAAGAGAAGCAAGCAGGUGCUGAGGGGUGGGAGCUGAUGGAUGACAGAUCAGAGAGGCCAACACACACGCGAAUCCUCCCCAACCCAGAGGACAGAGAGCUGGACCAAACCAGCUGGACCAAACCACAACUGGACCAAACCACGACUGGACCACACCACGACUGGACCACACCACGACUGGACCACACCACGACUGGACCACACCACAACUGGACCACACCACAACUGGACCACACCACGACUGGACCACGCCACGACUGGACCACGCCACAACUGGACCACACCACAACUGGACCACACCACAACUGGACCACACCACGACUGGACCACACCACAACUGGACCAAACCACACCUGAGGCAUAGCAGUAUAGUAGUCAUCUGCAAAGCCACAGGUGGAGGAUGUCCUAAAGGAACUUGGAAUGGGUGUACGAUUUCCAGACCUAAAACAUAUCAUUGUAUCUGAUACAAUAGUCAUCUAAUAGUCCUUUGCAUUUUGUUAUUGAAUGCAAAGGACUAGUACUUUUACUCAUCAGACACAGUGAGGAGAGAUACUUG
RNAcentral lists this long non-coding RNA (1004 nucleotides) under Salmo trutta (river trout). Its description in RNAcentral is "lncRNA (ENSSTUG00000039663.1)". Lineage: Eukaryota; Metazoa; Chordata; Actinopteri; Salmoniformes; Salmonidae. The record is from RNAcentral.